This 73-nucleotide transfer RNA is filed under the name Ovis aries (sheep). It matches the Rfam family "tRNA". From Rfam's summary of the family: Transfer RNA (tRNA) molecules are approximately 80 nucleotides in length. Their secondary structure includes four short double-helical elements and three loops (D, anti-codon, and T loops). The record is from Rfam by way of RNAcentral. Lineage: Eukaryota; Metazoa; Chordata; Mammalia; Artiodactyla; Bovidae.
UCCCUGGUGGUCUGGUGGCUAAGACUCCAUGCUCCCAAUGCUUGGAGCCCAGGUUCAAUCCCUGGUCAGGGAA